This is a non-coding RNA of Phaseolus vulgaris (common bean), 107 nucleotides long. The record is from Rfam. Lineage: Eukaryota; Viridiplantae; Streptophyta; Magnoliopsida; Fabales; Fabaceae.
CAGGUGUGAUUUGGGCAUUUUCUCAAUAUCAUCUUAAAUCUUUCCCAUGUAUCACAGAAGACUUCAUUUGCUCCUUGUCUGAACAUAGAGAUUUCAGACUUUGCUUU